This 772-nucleotide long non-coding RNA is filed under the name Gallus gallus (chicken). The record is from RNAcentral. Lineage: Eukaryota; Metazoa; Chordata; Aves; Galliformes; Phasianidae.
CAGCUGCUUUCUCUUUUCUUUGUUCAAUCUGUUCCAUGUGCCUCCUAAUGCUUUCAUCAUGCUUCAGCUGAAUCUUUUUCUGCAGUUCUUCCAUGGCUUCUUGUUGAGCUGCUGUAAGAGCUGCCAACCUCUCCUCUCGAUCUCUGGCCCUUUCUCGUGCUGCAUCUUCCCGUGCUUUCUCUUUCUCUUGCCUCUGCUGUUCAAUCCGUGCUUCUUGUUCUUUCCUCUUCAACAGCAGCUCUUCAACCCGAGCCUGGCGUUCUGCUUCCAGAGCUCUUUUGCGCUCCUGAACAGCUUCAUCACGUGCUUGCUUUUCCUCUUGCCUUCGUUGACGCUCCUCUUGUAAUUCAUUUAAGCGCUGCUCGUAUUCUUUUAAUUUAUUCAGCACAUCAUGACGUUUGUUCUGAGCUUCUAAGGUGUUUAUAAAAGCAAUUUCAUUUACCUUAGCUUCCUCCUCUUGUGCUUUUUUCACAAUUGCUUGGAGCUGCACUUCACGUUUGAACUCUGCAUGGAGCAGUUUUUCCUCCAUCAUUCUGCGCCUUUGAUCUAAUAGUUCUUCCUUCCAUUUCCGUACAUCUUUCUCCCUCUCCAUUAAUUUCUGAAGCUUCAGUGCCUUUUCUUCACGUAACUUUUCUCUCAGCUGUUGAGCUUUCAUUUGUUUUUCUUCGUGUUUCUUCUUGGAUUCUGCUAUUGUUCUUUUUCGUGAGGGUGAUGACAGUUUCUCAUGCAUGUGUAUUCCAUGGCCAGGUGGGCGUGCAGGCUCUUCUUCCAC